Macaca mulatta (Rhesus monkey) is the source of this 486-nucleotide non-coding RNA. Lineage: Eukaryota; Metazoa; Chordata; Mammalia; Primates; Cercopithecidae. The record is from RefSeq and is a predicted model, not a curated record.
UGCCAUGCUGUGAGGUCACUGAGGCAGCCUCUGGAGAGGCCCACAUGAGGAGGAACGAGGCCUCCCACCAACAGCCAUGUGAGCACAUCAUCUCAGACGUGGUUCCUCUAGCCUCAGUCGAGCCUUCGGAUGGCUGGAGCGCCUGCCAACAUCCUCACUGCAACUUGAUGAGUGAUCACCCAGCUAAGCCACUGCAGGAUUUGUAACCCACAGAAACCGGGAGGAGAAACCGGGACCUCAUGAAGUGUUUGAGACAUUGGGUUAAAGCACAUGCAUUUAAAAGGACCAGGAAAAGAAAAGAGACGCAGCGUCCUCGUUCUCCUCCUCAGGAUUACGAAAUAGGUGACUGGGUUGGCACCCUAGGGAGGUUCCCACGUGCACUGCAGGGCCUGGGGCAGGCCAGGCUCAUAGGAGCCUCUUAGGGAUCAAUGAAAUGUGGUCUGUCCGUACUGUGGAAGAUUAUUAGGACAUAAAAGGAAUGAAGUA